AUGCUUCCAAGGACUACUUGGAUAGUUGUGCUGGUUGUGUUUUCAGGGAAAGAACAGUCGACGAAGCUGAACUACUUGAAUAAUAUGUUGACUAAUGAAAAUAAUUGGACUCUUCCCGAGCCAAUUCCUGAGGCAAUUCCUGAGCCAAUUGAGCCAACUCCUGAGCCUAUUCCUCAACCCACUCCGAAGAAGAGAGGUGUUUUAUUCCUCAGUCCUGAAGAAAUGCAAGAGGCAAAGAAAUCAAUGAAAGAAAUAGGUAUAAAAGCUGAAGAUGUUAAGAAUUUACCACGUAUUGAAGAAAUACAUGGUCUUAAUAUACCGCCUAUUGAAGAACCACAUUGUCUUGAUAACCCGACACAGGUAGUAAAGGUAAAUUCUCUCUAUAGAUAUGAUAAAGUUGAAAUUCCCUCUACUAAAUUUCAUAGCCCAUGCUUUGAUGAAUUUGAUGACUUUAUGGCUAGACAAGAAAGUUUUAAUGCUUAUGUUGGUAGAGAGUUGAAGAAUAAUGCUUUCGAGAUAGGACGCGUGAGCGAUUAUAUGGCUAGAGUUAAAUGUGAACUUAAACUCGUUAGCAAAUAUGCUUCUAUGGUUGUUACUCAAUCUGAGCAAGUACUUAAAGCUCAAAAUGAUUUUCUUGAUGAAUUAAAUAAUAAAAAUGAUUUUGCUAUUAGAGUGGCUACUAGAACCGGUAGAAUGACUUAG
Molecule: ribosomal RNA, 702 nt
Filed under: Triticum aestivum (bread wheat)
Lineage: Eukaryota; Viridiplantae; Streptophyta; Magnoliopsida; Poales; Poaceae
Description: partial small subunit ribosomal RNA
Source: RNAcentral